This 470-nucleotide ribosomal RNA is filed under the name uncultured bacterium. Its description in RNAcentral is "bacterial SSU rRNA". It matches the Rfam family "Bacterial small subunit ribosomal RNA", at positions 28 to 507 of the family's 1533-position model. The record is from RNAcentral.
GACGAACGCUGGCGGCGUGCCUAACACAUGCAAGUCGAGCGAAGAAUUGGGAGCUUGCUCUUGAUUCUUAGCGGCGGACGGGUGAGUAACGCGUGAGCAACCUGCCUCGAACUGGGGGAUAACGCAUCGAAAGAUGUGCUAAUACCGCGUAAGACCACAGCACCACAUGGUGCAGGGGUCAAAGGAGCAAUCCGGUUUGAGAUGGGCUCGCGUCCGAUUAGCUAGUUGGCGGGAUAACAGCCCACCAAGGCGACGAUCGGUAGCCGACCUGAGAGGGUGAUCGGCCACAUUGGAACUGAGACACGGUCCAGACUCCUACGGGAGGCAGCAGUGGGGAAUAUUGGGCAAUGGGCGAAAGCCUGACCCAGCAACGCCGCGUGAGGGAAGAAGGGUUUCGGCUCGGUAAAACCUCUGUCCUAUGGGACGAAGAAGUGACGGUACCAUAGGAGGAAGCCCCGGCUAACUACGUG